RNAcentral lists this ribosomal RNA (2791 nucleotides) under Klebsiella pneumoniae. RNAcentral's name for it is "23S ribosomal RNA". It matches the Rfam family "Bacterial large subunit ribosomal RNA". Lineage: Bacteria; Pseudomonadati; Pseudomonadota; Gammaproteobacteria; Enterobacterales; Enterobacteriaceae. The record is from RNAcentral.
UUAAGCGACUAAGCGUACACGGUGGAUGCCCUGGCAGUCAGAGGCGAUGAAGGACGUGCUAAUCUGCGAAAAGCGUCGGUAAGGUGAUAUGAACCGUUAUAACCGGCGAUGUCCGAAUGGGGAAACCCAGUGUGAUUCGUCACACUAUCGUUAACUGAAUACAUAGGUUAACGAGGCGAACCGGGGGAACUGAAACAUCUAAGUACCCCGAGGAAAAGAAAUCAACCGAGAUUCCCCCAGUAGCGGCGAGCGAACGGGGAGCAGCCCAGAGUCUGAAUCAGCUUGUGUGUUAGUGGAACGGUCUGGAAAGUCCGACGGUACAGGGUGAUAGUCCCGUACACCAAAAUGCACAGGNUGUGAACUCGAAGAGUAGGGCGGGACACGUGGUAUCCUGUCUGAAUAUGGGGGGACCAUCCUCCAAGGCUAAAUACUCCUGACUGACCGAUAGUGAACCAGUACCGUGAGGGAAAGGCGAAAAGAACCCCGGCGAGGGGAGUGAAAAAGAACCUGAAACCGUGUACGUACAAGCAGUGGGAGCACCUUCGGGUGUGACUGCGUACCUUUUGUAUAAUGGGUCAGCGACUUAUAUUCUGUAGCAAGGUUAACCGUAUAGGGGAGCCGCAGGGAAACCGAGUCUUAACUGGGCGUUAAGUUGCAGGGUAUAGACCCGAAACCCGGUGAUCUAGCCAUGGGCAGGUUGAAGGUUGGGUAACACUAACUGGAGGACCGAACCGACUAAUGUUGAAAAAUUAGCGGAUGACUUGUGGCUGGGGGUGAAAGGCCAAUCAAACCGGGAGAUAGCUGGUUCUCCCCGAAAGCUAUUUAGGUAGCGCCUCGUGAACUCAUCUUCGGGGGUAGAGCACUGUUUCGGCUAGGGGGUCAUCCCGACUUACCAACCCGAUGCAAACUACGAAUACCGAAGAAUGUUAUCACGGGAGACACACGGCGGGUGCUAACGUCCGUCGUGAAGAGGGAAACAACCCAGACCGCCAGCUAAGGUCCCAAAGUCAUGGUUAAGUGGGAAACGAUGUGGGAAGGCACAGACAGCCAGGAUGUUGGCUUAGAAGCAGCCAUCAUUUAAAGAAAGCGUAAUAGCUCACUGGUCGAGUCGGCCUGCGCGGAAGAUGUAACGGGGCUAAACCAUGCACCGAAGCUGCGGCAGCGACACUAUGUGUUGUUGGGUAGGGGAGCGUUCUGUAAGCCUGCGAAGGUGUGCUGUGAGGCAUGCUGGAGGUAUCAGAAGUGCGAAUGCUGACAUAAGUAACGAUAAAGCGGGUGAAAAGCCCGCUCGCCGGAAGACCAAGGGUUCCUGUCCAACGUUAAUCGGGGCAGGGUGAGUCGACCCCUAAGGCGAGGCCGAAAGGCGUAGUCGAUGGGAAACAGGUUAAUAUUCCUGUACUUGGUGUUACUGCGAAGGGGGGACGGAGAAGGCUAUGUUAGCCGGGCGACGGUUGUCCCGGUUUAAGCAUGUAGGCUGGUUNAAAUCGUACCCCAAACCGACACAGGUGGUCAGGUAGAGAAUACCAAGGCGCUUGAGAGAACUCGGGUGAAGGAACUAGGCAAAAUGGUGCCGUAACUUCGGGAGAAGGCACGCUGGUGUGUAGGUGAAGUCCCUGCGGAUGGAGCUGAGACCAGUCGAAGAUACCAGCUGGCUGCAACUGUUUAUUAAAAACACAGCACUGUGCAAACACGAAAGUGGACGUAUACGGUGUGACGCCUGCCCGGUGCCGGAAGGUUAAUUGAUGGGGUUAUCCGUAAGGAGAAGCUCUUGAUCGAAGCCCCGGUAAACGGCGGCCGUAACUAUAACGGUCCUAAGGUAGCGAAAUUCCUUGUCGGGUAAGUUCCGACCUGCACGAAUGGCGUAAUGAUGGCCAGGCUGUCUCCACCCGAGACUCAGUGAAAUUGAACUCGCUGUGAAGAUGCAGUGUACCCGCGGCAAGACGGAAAGACCCCGUGAACCUUUACUAUAGCUUGACACUGAACAUUGAGCCUUGAUGUGUAGGAUAGGUGGGAGGCUUUGAAGCGUGGACGCCAGUCUGCGUGGAGCCAACCUUGAAAUACCACCCUUUAAUGUUUGAUGUUCUAACGUUGGCCCCUNACCGGGGUUGCGGACAGUGUCUGGUGGGUAGUUUGACUGGGGCGGUCUCCUCCCAAAGCGUAACGGAGGAGCACGAAGGUUAGCUAAUCCUGGUCGGACAUCAGGAGGUUAGUGCAAUGGCAUAAGCUAGCUUGACUGCGAGCGUGACGGCGCGAGCAGGUGCGAAAGCAGGUCAUAGUGAUCCGGUGGUUCUGAAUGGAAGGGCCAUCGCUCAACGGAUAAAAGGUACUCCGGGGAUAACAGGCUGAUACCGCCCAAGAGUUCAUAUCGACGGCGGUGUUUGGCACCUCGAUGUCGGCUCAUCACAUCCUGGGGCUGAAGUAGGUCCCAAGGGUAUGGCUGUUCGCCAUUUAAAGUGGUACGCGAGCUGGGUUUAGAACGUCGUGAGACAGUUCGGUCCCUAUCUGCCGUGGGCGCUGGAGAAUUGAGGGGGGCUGCUCCUAGUACGAGAGGACCGGAGUGGACGCAUCACUGGUGUUCGGGUUGUCAUGCCAAUGGCACUGCCCGGUAGCUAAAUGCGGAAGAGAUAAGUGCUGAAAGCAUCUAAGCACGAAACUUGCCCCGAGAUGAGUUCUCCCUGAGACUUUAAGUCUCCUGAAGGAACGUUGAAGACGACGACGUUGAUAGGCCGGGUGUGUAAGCGCAGCGAUGCGUUGAGCUAACCGGUACUAAUGAACCGUGAGGCUUAACCUU